GAUGAACGCUGGCUACAGGCUUAACACAUGCAAGUCGAGGGGAAACGGCAUUGAGUGCUUGCACUGAAUGGACGUCGACCGGCGCACGGGUGAGUAACGCGUAUCCAACCUUCCCGUUACUGCGGGAUAACCUGCCGAAAGGCAGACUAAUACCGCAUGUUCUUCGAUGACGGCAUCAGAUUCGAAGCAAAGAUCCGUCGGUAACGGAGGGGGAUGCGUCUGAUUAGCUAGUUGGCGGGGCGACGGCCCACCAAGGCGACGAUCAGUAGGGGUUCUGAGAGGAAGGUCCCCCACAUUGGAACUGAGACACGGUCCAAACUCCUACGGGAGGCAGCAGUGAGGAAUAUUGGUCAAUGGGCGGAAGCCUGAACCAGCCAAGUAGCGUGCAGGAUGACGGCCCUACGGGUUGUAAACUGCUUUUAUGCGGGGAUAAAGUGAGGGACGCGUCCCUUUUUGCAGGUACCGCAUGAAUAAGGACCGGCUAAUUCCGCG
Molecule: ribosomal RNA, 492 nt
Filed under: uncultured bacterium
Lineage: Bacteria
Description: partial 16S ribosomal RNA
Rfam family: Bacterial small subunit ribosomal RNA
Source: RNAcentral